RNAcentral lists this ribosomal RNA (305 nucleotides) under uncultured bacterium. Its description in RNAcentral is "bacterial SSU rRNA". It matches the Rfam family "Bacterial small subunit ribosomal RNA", at positions 337 to 634 of the family's 1533-position model. The record is from RNAcentral.
GCCUACGGGGGGCAGCAGUAGGGAAUCUUCCACAAUGGGCGAAAGCCUGAUGGAGCAACGCCGCGUGGGUGAAGAAGGUCUUCGGAUCGUAAAACCCUGUUGUUAGAGAAGAAAGUGCGUGAGAGUAACUGUUCACGUUUCGACGGUAUCUAACCAGAAAGCCACGGCUAGCUACGUGCCAGCAGCCGCGGUAAUACGUAGGUGGCAAGCGUUAUCCGGAUUUAUUGGGCGUAAAGGGAACGCAGGCGGUCUUUUAAGGCUGAUGUGAAAGCCUUCGGCUUAACCGGAGUAGUGCAUUGGAAACU